Molecule: ribosomal RNA, 253 nt
Filed under: uncultured bacterium
Lineage: Bacteria
Description: partial 16S ribosomal RNA
Rfam family: Bacterial small subunit ribosomal RNA
Source: RNAcentral
GACGAACCGUGCGAACGUUGUUCGGAAUCACUGGGCUUAAAGGGCGCGUAGGCGGGUUGCCAAGUCCGGGGUGAAAGCCUCCAGCUUAACUGGAGAAGUGCCUUGGAUACUGGUGAUCUCGAGGGGGGUAGGGGCAUGUGGAACUUCCGGUGGAGCGGUGAAAUGCGUAGAUAUCGGAAGGAACGCCGGUGGCGAAAGCGACGUGCUGGACCUCUUCUGACGCUGAGGCGCGAAAGCUAGGGGAGCAAACGGG